GCCGCCGCAUUCUGCCAAACAACAUGGCAGCGCGCAGAGCAGCUGUAGAGCAGCGGCGUGUUCGUGUGGUGGACGUUUUUUUUUUUCUGUUACACCGCAGCCGUCGCCGCUGCAUAGCGUAAUGGACGGUGCAGCAAAGUCCGGAGGUUACAGAAUUCAUUUGAAGAGCACACGAUGCUUACAUUUUGGCAGAAUAGCGAGCGGUAAGGCGGAUGCAACCGGGAUGCAGCGUUGAUCCAGGGGAAUCGAAAUUGUUUCGGCGUCGGCAUGUUUUCUUAAAGCAUUGCAGAGAUGAACUGAAGUGUUUUAGCACGAAUGCCCAGCUUCAACAGCAGCAUCUUUCAACUGAGUGCUGGCAUUGAGUGCUUCACUUCAGAUGAAAAACUAAAGCCACAUCCCAGGGUCAGUGGCUUUCCCAGGAACGCCUAGGACGUAGGAAUGCAUACUUAUCAUCCUUCACGCUCACACAGCAUGGCUCCCAGAAAUGGAAAGUUCACAAAGCUGCUGAAGGGCCCUUUAAUGAAGAUUACAAACACUACAAUAUGGAAGAGGAAAGUAGCACUAUCAAAGCCAGCUGUUGCACAGCUACAGCACAGGUUUUGCUUGUCAAUCACUUGGUGGCUGAGUAAGCGCGGCAUUUCGCUGCUAAGCACACGUGCAGGGGUUCCAUUCCUGGCUAUGUUGGGCACAGUUGGACUGGGGGAACAAAAUUCUUGUAUUUCGAUACAGGUUUGCUCAUUCAAAAUUACAUGAGCUUUGCUCUUUUGCGUGCAUGCGCAGUCUCUACUGACUUGCUCAGCUUCUUUGACAUGUCUCUAGCAAAAAAAUGCAUUCGUAGCAUUGUGUAUGUCCUAAGCACGGUUGCUGUAAAGUUGUCCUUGUGUUCUGCACACCCGAGUUUUGGAAACUUUGUUAACUCUAGAGCAUCGAGAAGUUCCCAAAAAAUGUCACUGCACAGUUGAAAGCGGUUAAGUGCGCUUGAGACAGUGCUUUCUAUGCUUCUCAGUGACAGGAACAUCUUCUCUGUGGGGUGCUUCAGGCUCAUUUCUUUAAAUGACCUAGCAAAUGUUACCCAUGCUGCCGGCAUAUGUGGAGCGUCAGUUUGAAUGUCAGCUAAGCAGUUUAAACAGCCCUUUUUUCUUUGAGAUUUUGUGCACAAUGUAGCCAGCAAGAUAAUAUACUACACAGUCUUCUGCAGUUGCCUUGCUGUAUGAGUGGUCCUUGCUUGUGCUGGGAAGCGCAGCCAUUGUGCUCGUGUCUUGCAGAUCAAAGCAGAGCUCUUCAAGCUUUUUCUCUAAGCGUGCGUGGAGCUUUUCUUUGUGGCACUCAUUGUCUUUGACACCAGCCUCGAGCACACCUGAAAGAACUGGCAAGAUAUCCUCCUGGGCUUCUACAUUGCCUUUGAUUGCUGCUUUCAUUGGGGCAUAGAUGGUCAAGAGCCGAAAGAUGUAGGAGAAGUUCACUAUGGUGGGGUGAUCUUCAUGUCCUCCAAAUGACGGAUGUUGCCGAAGAACCUCUGAAGUGAAAGAGACAUUUGUACAAAUAUUGUAUAAAUCAAAGCACUUGUAAGCGUAUUGUUUACUUUAAUAUUUAAUUUGCACUUAUGCAAGGCUAAAAUUGGAAGUGAAAGCAUGACAAUAAGGUUGCUUGUGUAUAUACAGUCGCCGACCAUUUUUUCAAACGUCCUAUUAUUUGGACCACCCUAAAUAUCUGGUCUCUGCCAUGUCACAGUUGCAUGCUCCAUAGAGUCAGUGUAUAACAUCAACCAAAAUUCUGGGUAUUUGAAACCCUUCUCAUUUGAUUUUCCUAACUUUUUCUUUCAAUCGUAAGCGUACAGCUACCAAAAACCACUGAAAACGCAAACAGCAUUGCUGCCAUUUUGUUUUUCUGUAGCCCUGAACCCACGUUAGCCACCCUACCCGCACUGCAUGUGUAUCAUCAGCUCAUCUCGCAUGCAGCCUUGACAGCAGGCACCUGCAGUUUCGCAUAUGGUCGGUCAUGGAAGUGACACUGGCACAGUUCACUAAUGGUGACAGUGAGACCAAGCUCUGUGCCGGACUUACUGAGGUCAAAAUAGUUCACCAGGUGCUGGAAGAUGAUGACUCGGGCUCCCACAAUGAGCAACCAGUGACUGUGCUGCCAACAACCUAUGAACUAAUGCAAGCCCUCGUGGUGCUUUCUGCUGUUUACAGCGAGAACAUCACCAUCACCGACGUGCAAGCUGAGCUUUUGGAUGGAAGCGUAGAGCACCCGAGAAACUGAUUGGCCAGCUUUUCAAGCCGCUUGGUAAAUGAAGUGACUUUUUUUACGUGAAUUCGUUUUGUCGGACACUAUCUCGCCCCUGCAGCGUUCAAUAAAUUGGUGGGCGACUGUAGAGACUUGUUAAUAUUGCUUAGGCAAAUUACAUGUGUGUUUACAUGGCCAUGUGUCAAGAAUGGAUGUUUGCAGUCGUUGAGGCUUGUUACAAAUUACCACAGCAGGCACGCUGCCCGCUGAAUGGAAUACCAAUUAUAAAUGAAGAGUUGACAUGUAUUAGCAAAUUUGCAUGGGCCAGAGAAUAAAGGCUUCUGAUGGAAUGGGUGGAAGCUUCGAAAGUCAUUAAAACACUACAGAUGAAAGCUGAGCUAUAUCGCAACCAUUGUUGCUAUAUUUGACUAUCAACCCUUCAGGCUAUGCUACCCAGACAUAAAACAGGGGAUC
Long non-coding RNA from Rhipicephalus sanguineus (brown dog tick), 2700 nucleotides. RefSeq lists it as uncharacterized. The record is from RefSeq and is a predicted model, not a curated record. The transcript has 4 exons. NCBI's taxonomy places the organism in Eukaryota, Metazoa, Arthropoda, Arachnida, Ixodida, Ixodidae.